Molecule: ribosomal RNA, 253 nt
Filed under: uncultured bacterium
Lineage: Bacteria
Description: partial 16S ribosomal RNA
Rfam family: Bacterial small subunit ribosomal RNA
Source: RNAcentral
UACAGAGGUCUCAAGCGUUGUUCGGAUUCAUUGGGCGUAAAGGGUGCGUAGGUGGCGCGCUAAGUCGGGUGUGAAAUUUCGGAGCUUAACUCCGAAACUGCAUUCGAUACUGGCGUGCUUGAGGACUGGAGAGGAGACUGGAAUUUACGGUGUAGCAGUGAAAUGCGUAGAUAUCGUAAGGAAGACCAGUGGCGAAGGCGGGUCUCUGGACAGUUCCUGACACUGAGACACGAAGGCCAGGGGAGCAAACGGG